Podarcis lilfordi (Lilford's wall lizard) is the source of this 74-nucleotide non-coding RNA. The record is from the annotation of a GenBank genome assembly. NCBI's taxonomy places the organism in Eukaryota, Metazoa, Chordata, Lepidosauria, Squamata, Lacertidae.
AUCUAAUUUAGCUCAGCUGGUAGAGCAUGAGACUUUUAACCACAGGGUCAGGGGUUUGAGCCCCACAUUAGGCA